This is a long non-coding RNA of Ruditapes philippinarum (Manila clam), 3334 nucleotides long. RefSeq lists it as uncharacterized. Lineage: Eukaryota; Metazoa; Mollusca; Bivalvia; Venerida; Veneridae. The transcript has 2 exons. The record is from RefSeq and is a predicted model, not a curated record.
UAACUAUUUGUGAAGUAUUAAGGGAUGACAUUUAAUAUUUAUGUAAAUAUCACCUCCCGUGAUAUGAUUUCUAAAAUUAUACAUGUUUUCGGCGAUCUCCGAGGUCAUUUUUCUGAAUGACGUAAAUCCGAUGAGAAAUCGGGAAGGGUGUGUGUGCAUGCCUCAUUAAUUAGCGUGUGCACAUUGCUUGAUAAUGCUUGAUAUAUAUUUUAAAAUAAAUUUGUCCAUCUCAGACCCGUUUGUAUACGAAUCAAAACAAUUACAAUACGGAGAUUGCCAAUGAAAAAUUGAGCUAGAAUAUACAAGAUCAGAUUUGAUUGGUCGUCGUUAUUUUUACCAGCCAAUGAAAUCGUUUGUUGCAUAGUCAUUUGAUGUCAAAAUACAUGUACAAAUACAAUGACGACAACGGUGAAGUGUUAACCGCCUGGUUUUAAUACUAACGAUCUGAAAAAGGGUGCAAAAAACAAAUGGAGGUGGGAGUGGUUAGCGGAAAAGGACUCUAAAGGUGAAAAAUGGGAUGCUUGGUUGAAGAAACCAAAUGCAAUGGGCUUUUGUGAAGUCUGUUCCAAAACGAUCAACUAGACAAAUCGAACAGAAAAAAGGUGCUUCUUAAUCACGAUUAGCUGAAGAUGAGGACCACUAAAAGAAUCUUAGACCAAGUACUGCCAGGCUCAUCAAAAGCUGUGGACAAAAAGAUUGAAAGUAUGCAAGACCGUAUUGCCAAACAAAGAGCAAUCACAACUGCCUUUCUUAGUGAACAUUGACUGCCAUUUUCCAUAGCAGGCGAUCUCUAACAUCUUGCCAAACGUUUAGCUGAAGACAAGCCUGCUCUUGAAAAAACUACUCUUUCUCCAACCAGUGCAAUGUACAUAACAACACAUGGUGUAGCCAAAUCUGUUAAGGAUGGAGUGAAGUCAAAAGUGAAAGAUAAGUUAAUAUCUUUGAAUAUGGAUGAGGCAACUAACAAAAAACAAUAACAAAGUACUGAAUAUAAUCUUUCAGUACUUUGAUGAUGAAACUAGUCAAGUAGUAAUGGAUCAUUUAGGAUUGAGAAUUCAAAAUGUUUCCACAUCUGAAGAAAUUGUCAAGUCAGUUGAAAGUGUGCUGCAUCAACAAGUGGAAGACAAUGGAAAAGGAUUAAAUUUAAGAUAUGAAAUAGAAAAUAGUAAAAAGAAUGAACAUAAUUUGUUAUGUGGAAUGUGUAUAUAUUGCUUAAAUAGUAUUGCUCAGUGAAUUUGAGUAAAUUUUAACAUAUCAGAUUAAUUACAUCUGAAGAUAAAUAAAGCACUUGAGAAUGUAUCUGAGCCUUUUUUUGAACUUUUAAAUUCACUAAAUUGUAAAAGCUUCCAAGGGCCUCCAGCCCCCUGAACCCCUAGCCAGGGCGUUGCCCUGGACCCACCGGGGGCCCUAGCGGCCCCCUGACCCCCAACUUUUUCUUUCAGUAUUUUCAGUUUCUGUAACUUUUACCCCUGCAUGUACACAUGUGUUUAUCACCUCAAUAAAUGUAAGUGAAAAUGGAACAAUAAUUAUGGUAAUUAUCCAUGGUGCUAGAAAUACUCUUUAUCAUGUUAACUAAGCAAGAAGCUUAUAAUUGCUUAACCUUACAAUAGUUAUCAAUUUAAACUUGAAAAUCUACUCUAAAUGACUUCCCAAACAGUAAUUUCUGAAAACAUGAAAAAGAUUCGUGUAGAAAAAUAACACAAGAAAAAACUGAUUUGACUCGUGAAAAUUUUUGGCCAAACAGUCUGCCACGUGAAAUUCUGACCUUCCUGAGAUCCCUGCUGUUUGUUUUUUAGCUCACCUGUCACAAAGUGACAGGGUGAGCUUUUGUGAUCGCUUUUCGUCCGGCGUCCGUCCGUCGUCCGUCCGUAAACUUUUACUUUAAAUGACAUCUCCUCAUAAACCGCUAAGCCAAUUUCAUCCAAACUUCACAGGAAUGUUCCUUUGGUGGUCACCUUUAAAAAUUGUUCAAAGAAUUUAAUUCCAUGCAGAACUCUGGUUGCCAUGGCAACCAAAAGAAAAAACUUUAAAUAUCUUCUUUUAAAAAAACAUAAGAGCUAGAGCUUAGAUAUUUGGCAUGAAACAUCUUCUAGUGAGUGUCUACCAAGUUUGUUCAAAUAAAAGCCCUGGGGUCAAAAUUGGCCCCGCCCCAGGGGGUCAUUGAUUUUCCCUAUAUGCAUAUAGUAAAAAAUUAAAAAGUCUUCUUUUAAAGAACCCAAAGAGCUAGAGCUAAGAUAUUUAGCAUGAAAUAUGUUCUAAUGGGUGUCUACCAAGUUUGUUCAAAUAAAAGCCCUGGGGUCAAAAUUGGCCCAGCCCCGGGGGGUCAUUGAUUUUCCCCAUAUGCAUAUAGUAAAAACUUAAAUAAAAUUCUUUUAAAGAACUCAAAGAGCUAUGGCUAAGAUAUUGAGCAUCAAACAUGUUCUAAUAGGUGUCUACCAAGUUUGUUCAAAUAAAAGCCCUGGGGUCAAAAUUGGCCCCGCCCCAGGGGGUCAUUGAUUUUCCCUAUGUGCAUAUAGUAAAAACUUAAAAAAUCUUCUUUUAAAGAACCAAAAGAGUUAGAGCUAAGAUAUUUAGCAUGAAACAUGUUCUAAUAAGUGUCUACCAAGUUUGUUCAAAUAAAAGCCCUUGGGUCAAAAUUGGCCCCGCCUCGGGGGGGUCAUUGAUUUUCCCUAUAUGCAUAUAGUAAAAACUUAAAAAAUCUUCUUUUAAAGAACUCAAAGAGCUAUGGCUAAGAUAUUGAGCAUGAAACAUGUUCUAAUAGGUGUCUACCAAGUUUGUUCAAAUAAAAGCCCUGGGGUCAAAAUUGGCCCCACCCCGGGGGGUCAUUGAUUUUCCCUAUAUGCAUAUAGUAAAAACUUAAAAAAUCUUCUUUUAAAGAACUCAAAGAGCUAUGGCUAAGAUAUUUAGCAUCAAACAUGUUCUAAUAGGUGUCUACCAAGUUUGUUCAAAUAAAAGCCCUGGGGUCAAAAUUGGCACCGCCCCGGGGGUCAUUGAUUUUCCUUAUAUGUGUAUAGCAAAAACUUUAAAAAAUCUUCUUUGAAAAAACCCAAAUAGCUAGAGUUAAGAUAUCAAGCAUGAAACAUCUUUUAGUGAGUGUCUACAAAGUUUGUUCAAAUAAAAGACCAGGGGUCAAAAUUGGCCCCGCCCCGGGGGUCAUUGAUUUUCUUUAUGUGUAUAGCAAAAACUUAAAAUCUUCUUAGGAAAAACCCAAAUAGCUAGAGUUUAGAUAUUAAGCAUGAAACAUCUUCUAGUAAGUGUCUACAAAGUUUGUUCAAAUAAAAGCCCUGGGGUCAAAACUGGCCUGGCCCCAGGGGUGUCAUUGUUUUUAACUAUA